Molecule: ribosomal RNA, 253 nt
Filed under: uncultured bacterium
Lineage: Bacteria
Description: partial 16S ribosomal RNA
Rfam family: Bacterial small subunit ribosomal RNA
Source: RNAcentral
UACGUAGGUGGCAAGCGUUGUCCGGAUUUACUGGGCGUAAAGAGCACGCAGGCGGUCGGCCAAGUCGAGUGUGAAAGCCCCCGGCUCAACUGGGGAGGGUCACUCGAUACUGGUCGACUUGAAGGCGGGAGAGGGAAGCGGAAUUCCCGGUGUAGUGGUGAAAUGCGUAGAUAUCGGGAGGAACACCAGUGGCGAAGGCGGCUUCCUGGCCCGUUCUUGACGCUCAUGUGCGAAAGCUAGGGGAGCAAACGGG